Molecule: non-coding RNA, 26 nt
Filed under: Mus musculus (house mouse)
Lineage: Eukaryota; Metazoa; Chordata; Mammalia; Rodentia; Muridae
Source: RNAcentral
UUGUUAUCUAGAAGAUCUCCUGUUUA